RNAcentral lists this ribosomal RNA (469 nucleotides) under uncultured bacterium. RNAcentral describes it as "bacterial SSU rRNA". It matches the Rfam family "Bacterial small subunit ribosomal RNA", at positions 335 to 801 of the family's 1533-position model. The record is from RNAcentral.
ACUCCUACGGGAGGCAGCAGUAGGGAAUAUUGGUCAAUGGGCGAGAGCCUGAACCAGCCAUGCCGCGUGCAGGAAGACGGCCUUCUGGGUUGUAAACUGCUUUAUCAGGGAACAAAGGCCAUGCGUGGCAAAUUGCGUGUACCUGAAGAAUAAGGACCGGCUAACUCCGUGCCAGCAGCCGCGGUAAUACGGAGGGUCCAAGCGUUGUCCGGAUUUAUUGGGUUUAAAGGGUGCGUAGGCGGCCCUAUAAAGUCAGUGGUGAAAUCCUUCAGCUCAACUGGAGAACUGCCAUUGAUACUGUAGGGCUUGAGUACAGACGAGGUAGGCGGAAUUUAUGGUGUAGCGGUGAAAUGCAUAGAUACCAUAAAGAACACCUAUUGCGAAAGGCAGCUUACUAGACUGUAAACUGACGCUGAGGCACGAAAGCGUGGGGAGCGAAACAGGAUUAGAUACCCUGGUAGGCUCUGCU